This 963-nucleotide ribosomal RNA is filed under the name uncultured bacterium. Its description in RNAcentral is "bacterial SSU rRNA". It matches the Rfam family "Bacterial small subunit ribosomal RNA", at positions 515 to 1477 of the family's 1533-position model. The record is from RNAcentral.
CCGCGGUGAUACGGAGGGUGCAAGCGUUAAUCGGAAUUACUGGGCGUAAAGCGCACGCAGGCGGUUUGUUAAGUCAGAUGUGAAAUCCCCGCGCUUAACGUGAGAACUGCAUUUGAAACUGGCAAGCUAGAGUCUUGUAGAGGGGGGUAGAAUUCCAGGUGUAGCGGUGAAAUGCGUAGAGAUCUGGAGGAAUACCGGUGGCGAAGGCGGCCCCCUGGACAAAGACUGACGCUCAGGUGCGAAAGCGUGGGGAGCAAACAGGAUUAGAUACCCUGGUAGUCCACGCUGUAAACGAUGUCGACUUGGAGGUUGUGCCCUUGAGGCGUGGCUUCCGGAGCUAACGCGUUAAGUCGACCGCCUGGGGAGUACGGCCGCAAGGUUAAAACUCAAAUGAAUUGACGGGGGCCCGCACAAGCGGUGGAGCAUGUGGUUUAAUUCGAUGCAACGCGAAGAACCUUACCUACCCUUGACAUCCACGGAAUUCGCCAGAGAUGGCUUAGUGCCUUCGGGAACCGUGAGACAGGUGCUGCAUGGCUGUCGUCAGCUCGUGUUGUGAAAUGUUGGGUUAAGUCCCGCAACGAGCGCAACCCUUAUCCUUUGUUGCCAGCACGUAAUGGUGGGAACUCAAAGGAGACUGCCGGUGAUAAACCGGAGGAAGGUGGGGAUGACGUCAAGUCGUCAUGGCCCUUACGAGUAGGGCUACACACGUGCUACAAUGGCAUAUACAAAGAGAAGCGAACUCGCGAGAGCAAGCGGACCUCAUAAAGUAUGUCGUAGUCCGGAUUGGAGUCUGCAACUCGACUCCAUGAAGUCGGAAUCGCUAGUAAUCGUAGAUCAGAAUGCUACGGUGAAUACGUUCCCGGGCCUUGUACACACCGCCCGUCACACCAUGGGAGUGGGUUGCAAAAGAAGUAGGUAGCUUAACCUUCGGGAGGGCGCUUACCACUUUGUGAUUCAUGACUG